UACGGAGGGGGCUAGCGUUGUUCGGAAUUACUGGGCGUAAAGCGCGCGUAGGCGGGCUGUUAAGUCGAGGGUGAAAUCCCGGGGCUCAACCCCGGAACUGCCUUCGAUACUGGCAGCCUAGAGGUCGGGAGAGGUGAGUGGAAUGCCGAGUGUAGAGGUGAAAUUCGUAGAUAUUCGGCGGAACACCCGUGGCGAAGGAGGCUCACUGGCCCGAUAAUGACGAUGAGGUGCGAAAGCGUGGGGAGCAAACAGG
This 253-nucleotide ribosomal RNA is filed under the name uncultured bacterium. Its description in RNAcentral is "partial 16S ribosomal RNA". It matches the Rfam family "Bacterial small subunit ribosomal RNA", at positions 524 to 776 of the family's 1533-position model. The record is from RNAcentral.